RNAcentral lists this ribosomal RNA (753 nucleotides) under uncultured bacterium. RNAcentral's name for it is "bacterial SSU rRNA". It matches the Rfam family "Bacterial small subunit ribosomal RNA", at positions 99 to 849 of the family's 1533-position model. The record is from RNAcentral.
CGGACGGGUGAGUAAUACAUCGGAACGUGUCCUAAAGUGGGGGAUAACGCAUCGAAAGAUGUGCUAAUACCGCAUAAUCUCUGAGGAGAAAAGUAGGGGAUCGAAAGACCUUAUGCUUUUAGAGCGGCUGAUGUCUGAUUAGCUAGUUGGUAAGGUAAUGGCUUACCAAGGCGACGAUCAGUAGUUGGUCUGAGAGGACGACCAGCCACACUGGGACUGAGACACGGCCCAGACUCCUACGGGAGGCAGCAGUGGGGAAUUUUGGACAAUGGGCGCAAGCCUGAUCCAGCAAUGCCGCGUGAGUGAAGAAGGCCUUCGGGUUGUAAAGCUCUUUCAGUUGAAAAGAAAAAGUCGUGACUAAUAAUCAUGGCUCAUGACGGUAUCAACAGAAGAAGCACCGGCUAACUACGUGCCAGCAGCCGCGGUAAUACGUAGGGUGCAAGCGUUAAUCGGAAUUACUGGGCGUAAAGGGUGCGCAGGCGGUUCUGUAAGUCAGAUGUGAAAUCCCCGGGCUUAACCUGGGAACUGCGUUUGAAACUGCAGAGCUAGAGUGCGGCAGAGGGAGGUGGAAUUCCAUGUGUAGCAGUGAAAUGCGUAGAGAUAUGGAAGAACAUCGAUGGCGAAGGCAACCUCCUGGGCUAGCACUGACGCUCAUGCACGAAAGCGUGGGGAGCAAACAGGAUUANNNACCCUGGUAGUCCACGCCCUAAACUAUGUCAACUAGUUGUCGGGUCUUAAUAGACUUGGUANNNU